CUUCUCUGGUGAAUAGUGGUGAUCCUUGGCAGUGGCAAUUCUGUCGAAACAGUUCUAGUUCUGGAUUCAAAUAAUACUGGGAUUCCUAUAUUCUGGUUCCUCUCUCAAAAGCCAUUUAUUUCAUUUCCUUGCUUUACUUUUUCCUCCACGCCCUAAAAGACCACCAAAAUUCCAUCUCUAUUUUUCUUCUGAUAGAGAAAUGAAGAAAGAAGAAGAAGAUAUGGAAGAAGGAGGUGUUGUUGUAAGAAGAAGAAAAGUCGUUAUUAAUUCUAAGAAGUCGUUUCAAAUACAGAAUCACAAGAAGAAAAGAAAAUGGGUUUGAAUUGGAUACUCAGUUUGGGCGGAGUCGGAAAUGGGGUUUUUGUGGCAGGAAAUUUUGCCUUGGUUCCAUCAGUUGAUCCCUUGUUUUAAUUCCUACCAUAUAACUGUUCAAUUGUUUAACCGAUCACUACCAUCUAAGGAAAUGUUAUCUGACAGUUCCUCCAAGAUCUUCAGACAGAUCUGGAGAAAAACUGAUCAGAAAGGGAUGGAAUAGUCGCUGUGAAGAUCGGCAAAAAGAAAUAAAUAAGAAAUCAAGAGAAUAUAUAUCCAUAUCAACGCAAAACAACAACAUCGAUGUCUAUGCAUCGGAGGUGUUUGAAUUAUCUACCAAAGCAGCUGAAUCUAAUGAAAGAGAACUAUGAUGAUCUAAGGGAAGAAGAUUUAUGUGCUUUCAAGCUCAUUAUGAUCCAUGUAAAGAGGCUGAGAGCUGUGCAGAAACAUCCGCAAGAAGUUGAGUUGCAUUCCUUGUAUCUCAUGGGACAAGUUUGGAUCCAGUGGCCUGAGGGAUAUCGUUGGGCUUACAAAGGGUUUGGGGCUUCUGCGCAGACUCAUUUGUAGAGAUUAGUGCUUCUGGCACAGGAGAACAAGUGCUUGUAGCUGCAAGAGAGGGUUCAUCUCAAGUGAUGCUUAAAGGAUUUUAAAGAGAGGUUUGUAAGGGUUAGUCUGAAUGUCUCAAAACCCUGUCUCCUAUAAAGGAACUGUUAAAGGAAAUGAAUCCAAUUUCCUAGAUAAACUGAAGGUCUUGACUGGUGGCUUAGUUUGUGUUGAGAAGCAACUCACAAUGGUCGAUGUGUUGUUUGGGUGGAGGUUGUAAAGCUUCUGCUGGUAAUUACAAAGUUGCUUGAUGAAAGCUCUAUCAAAAGGGAAGCCUGGAUAGAGAAACAACAAACCGUUGGCAGCACAUAAAGAAGAGAAUUCAGUUUUAGAUGAUAGUCCAGUAACACUUCAAAAGUGGAUGAGGGAUGUUGUGCAGGAUCAUGCUGCGAGUGAAAAACUCGGCAAGGAGAAUGCUGAAAAAUGUAGAAAUGUGGCUUCAGUUUAUUUGGUCCUAAUAUUCUGCUUGUUCCAGAAGCCAAAGAAGAGAAUGAUCACCAUGCAGUUCUAAUUUGAGGUUCUCCUCUUCCAUCUUAAAGAUUGGGUUUCCCAGAUGGGAAGACUAGUGAUGAAGAUGUGCCUUUUGAAAAAUCUUGUAGAAACAAGCAGUUCCCUCUUUAUGGAGGAAGAGAGUCUCAAGAGCAGUGUUUUAUAUGGGUUUCAGCUUGCUACUAGAGCCGGACCAUUAUGUGAUGAGCCUACGUGGGGAUCGACCUUUAUUGUCGAAGCUAAUGUUAUUCCAGUGGUGAAUCAAUCCGGCGAAUCUGUUGUUUCUACUUAACUUGCAGAUCACUAUGGCAUCUACACUGGACAUAUAAUGACGGCAGUGAAGAAAGCAUGUCGGAGAGCUGUGCUUCAGAACUGAAGAAAUCUCGGCUUGAAGAAGCCAUGUACCUGAACACCCCAACUGAACAUUUGGGCUCCAUGUAUGCUGUUCUGUCUAAGAGACGUGCCCAAGUUUUGAAGGAAGGGAUGCAAGAAGGGUCUUAUGUGUUCAUAGUGCACACAUGUAAUUGAACAUCUGACUUUUGAAAAAAGAAAGAUGGAUGUCAAAAUUGGUAAGUGCAUGUGGCUACUGCAGCAUGUUUCUCAUAACUUCUGAAUAUGGAGAUAACCCAAUAUUCUUGACCCUGUAAGUAUAUACUGCUCAUUUGUGCAAAUGCACAAUUUUGUUGUUUUAAGUUUAUAUAUGUACUGCAGUACUUUUAUGUUUCUGCCUUAAUUAUAUUUUCUCAUUUAGUUGGUAUUCUAAAUAUUUUUCCCGUAGCUUAAGAUUAGCGACACUAGUUUGUAUCAAGGUUUAGGACGGGAUGUACUCGAUGGUGAGCUUGUGUUCUCCUUUUUAUAUAUGACUAGACUAGAUUGUAAGGACAUCCCUUCAGCAUAACAUAUGUCAGUCAAAAAACCUUUGGAGAUUUACUAACGAACUCUGUGGUUCUGUCGAUUCACAUUUCACAACAUUAUGUACUCUAGUUAAAUCUUUCACUUUUCAUGUUUAAUUCAGAACUUGUUUUUGGAUGUUAAAGAUACUAGGAAUACUUGCUGUAUGUUGACUCUCAUUUCCAAUUAUCUUAACUUGGAAAGAGCUUUUCUUGAACUCAGUUUUGAAAUCAGGAUUCACUGAAUAUGAACUUUAACCUGGAGCUGUGCUAAGCUUCUCGUUUUACAUUUGAUGGGUCAUUAGAUAGCCACUCAAAACAUACUUGUCUGGCUGCAUCUCGUAUAAAGGAAAUGAAUCUACUGCAUUAAAACAUUAUUAUCCUCUACAAAAUUGAUAAUGGAAGAGCUAGUUAAAGUCUCCUCGCAUCGAUUUUUAGAAACAAACGUAACUAUCAACAGCAAUAAGAAGAAAAACUAGUAAAAGGAAAAUGUAACGGGAUUAUGAUCAUUAGUUUGCCGUGUUAUGUUUUAUAUUUUGCAUGAAUCACAAGUGACUGUAUGUAGGUUGGAUUAUUCGAACACACGUACUUCAUCAAUUAUUCUAGGCUUUGCAUGCAUUGCGGUAGCUAACUCACGUACUUCAUCAACCAUUCCAGGCUUUGUAUGCAUUCUGGUAGAUCUUCUUCAUUUAUGGUUCUGACUUGAGUCUGCAAAUACGAAACAAACUCACCCUGGUACAGCAGUACUGUUGGAUAAUGUCUUAAAGCUGGACUCUACAAUUUACCCAAGAAGAUUUCAACAAUAUUCUUGAUGAAGAAGAGGAGGAUGAGUAACCAGUAGCAGAAUAUGUUGGAAUGCAAGAUGACGAACUUGAAAUAGAAGAUGACAUGGAAGAUUCUGGUCUUGAUGGUUCUCUUAGAGAUGAUGAUAUUGUAAAUGAGGAUGAUGAUGAAGAGAUUACUAAAAGAGUCUGUAAUGUGCAAGAAAAAUGAUAAAUAUGAUGUUAAGUUGAAAAGGAAGAAGAGGGUACAUGUUGAUCAGGUUGAGAAUGAUGCUGCUGGUGAAAGCCACGCAAGAGUCCACUUGAGAAUAUCCAGUAGUAUAGGCUGUAAGCUGACUUUGACCAGCUCACUUUAAAGCCCUGAUUUUAUUUUCUUGAUUUUAUAUGAGAAUCUUAUUAUCUGAACUGCUGAAUUGGCAAGGGCAUUAAGUUUUGUAAUCCAUUUUGAUUCAUUAAGUUUGUUUUCACACAUUCUACUUA
Long non-coding RNA from Papaver somniferum (opium poppy), 3556 nucleotides. RefSeq lists it as uncharacterized. The transcript has 2 exons. The record is from RefSeq and is a predicted model, not a curated record. Lineage: Eukaryota; Viridiplantae; Streptophyta; Magnoliopsida; Ranunculales; Papaveraceae.